UUCCGUUAGUAUAUGAAUGAUAGUGUUAAUCCAAAAUAAAAAAAUACAGAACAUUCAUAAUUAAAAAAACCAUUCUAAAUUUGUCAAUCCGUAAUUCAAAAUAUGCAUUCCAGAUUCAGAAAUCCAUAAUUGAAAAAAAUCAUUCCAGAUCCACCAGUCCGUAAUAAAAAUUAGGUUUCUAAAUUCAGAAAUCCAAAAAUCAACAAUUUAUGCAAACUUUGUUUCCAAAGCACUCUCUCAUCCUGAAAGCAACAUGAUUCACUUCUGGAUUGAUGAAUCUGUAAUACACUCCCAAAUCCUGAUUUCAAAUAAAAGGUGAAGGUCAUCGGGAUUUAAAAAAUUGUGGAGAUACAGGAAGAAACUGCCUUGUAACCAUUAAAGACUGUAGAUCUAAUAUAGCGGCCCAGUGUAUCAGCAUAGUAAUAAAAUUGUUAAUCGUCAAGGCCCAACAUCAGAGAAUUAGGGUCAAUAACUGCCUUUUAAUUAGUUCUUAUUUGCUGAUCGUUGAUUGUUUCUUUAUCAUCCCUCAUGGGAGACGAGGGGAAAAAACAGAGGAGAAAGAAAAAAAAUGCAAAGUAUUUAAAUGGGGUAAAUGACAUGAUGCAAAAAAUGGGAAUAAAAAGGGAGAAGAGUUGAAAAUUAAAUGUAAAACAAGGUGGCU
RNAcentral lists this long non-coding RNA (661 nucleotides) under Phaseolus vulgaris (common bean). RNAcentral's name for it is "long non-coding RNA (PVUL_LNC001179)". Lineage: Eukaryota; Viridiplantae; Streptophyta; Magnoliopsida; Fabales; Fabaceae. The record is from RNAcentral.